Molecule: ribosomal RNA, 575 nt
Filed under: uncultured bacterium
Lineage: Bacteria
Description: bacterial SSU rRNA
Rfam family: Bacterial small subunit ribosomal RNA
Source: RNAcentral
UGGUAGUCCAUGCCGUAAACGUUGGGCACUAGGUGUGGGGGACAUUCCACGUUCUCCGCGCCGUAGCUAACGCAUUAAGUGCCCCGCCUGGGGAGUACGGCCGCAAGGCUAAAACUCAAAGGAAUUGGCGGGGGCCCGCACAAGCGGCGGAGCAUGCGGAUUAAUUCGAUGCAACGCGAAGAACCUUACCAAGGCUUGACAUGAACCGGAACGGCGCAGAGAUGUGUCGGCCACUUGUGGCCGGUUUACAGGUGGUGCAUGGUUGUCGUCAGCUCGUGUCGUGAGAUGUUGGGUUAAGUCCCGCAACGAGCGCAACCCUCGUUCCAUGUUGCCAGCGGGUUAUGCCGGGGACUCAUGGGAGACUGCCGGGGUCAACUCGGAGGAAGGUGGGGACGACGUCAAAUCAUCAUGCCCCUUAUGUCUUGGGCUUCACGCAUGCUACAAUGGCCGGUACAAAGGGUUGCGAUGCUGUGAGGUGGAGCUAAUCCCAAAAAGCCGGUCUCAGUUCGGAUUGAGGUCUGCAACUCGACCUCAUGAAGUCGGAGUCGCUAGUAAUCGCAGAUCAGCAACGCUGC